GAUCCUACGGGGCGCAGCAGUGGGGAAUAUUGGGCAGUGGGCGCAAGCCUGACCCAGCAACGCCGCGUGAAGGAAGAAGGCUUUCGGGUUGUAAACUUCUUUUGACAGGGAAGAGUAGAAGACGGUACCUGUCGAAUAAGCCACGGCUAACUACGUGCCAGCAGCCGCGGUAAUACGUAGGUGGCAAGCGUUAUCCGGAUUUACUGGGUGUAAAGGGCGUGUAGGCGGGACUGCAAGUCAGAUGUGAAAACCACGGGCUCAACCUGUGGCCUGCAUUUGAAACUGUAGUUCUUGAGUACUGGAGG
RNAcentral lists this ribosomal RNA (305 nucleotides) under uncultured bacterium. Its description in RNAcentral is "bacterial SSU rRNA". It matches the Rfam family "Bacterial small subunit ribosomal RNA", at positions 335 to 655 of the family's 1533-position model. The record is from RNAcentral.